Molecule: ribosomal RNA, 402 nt
Filed under: Caponia sp. SP31
Lineage: Eukaryota; Metazoa; Arthropoda; Arachnida; Araneae; Caponiidae
Description: partial 16S ribosomal RNA
Source: RNAcentral
UGCUCCAUGUAAUAUAAAUAGCCGCAGACCUCUGUGCUAAGGUAGCAUAAUAAAUAGCCCUUUAAUUCAGGGAUAGUAAUGAAAGAACAAACAAAUCAAAAACUUUAUUAUUAUUAAAAUUUAAAACUUAAUUAAAAGUAAAAAUUCUUUUAUUAUAUAGAAAGACAACAAGACCCUAUCGAACUUUACAAUGUUAAACUGGGGCGGUUUAAUAAAUAUACCUUCUUUUAACUAAUAGACCCAAUACUAUUGAAUACAUGAUCAAGUUACCGUAGGGAUAACAGCACUAUUUAAAAUUAAAGAUCUCAUUACAUUUUAAGUUUAUGACCUCGAUGUUGAAUAGAAUAACUAUUUAAAGCAAUCUUUAAAAAAGUAAGUCUGUUCGACUUUUAAUUUUCUACA